GUUCAUUUUGGCAAGGAAAUGUGCUGAUUUUGCAAGGAGAUGGAGAAUAAAGAGUUCAAGAGGUCAGAGGUCAGUGGGAAUGACCUCACCCUCAUAGACCUGGAUGACCCCAUCAAUGAAGCUGAUGUUAUGAAGGAAGUCAGAUCCCAUAAAGAUCACAGAGAGGCUGAGAGACUAACCAAGUUGGACGAGGCUGUUCUAGAGACAGAUACCCC
Molecule: long non-coding RNA, 215 nt
Organism: Coregonus clupeaformis (lake whitefish)
Lineage: Eukaryota; Metazoa; Chordata; Actinopteri; Salmoniformes; Salmonidae
Exons: 3
Source: RefSeq, a predicted model, not a curated record